This 257-nucleotide ribosomal RNA is filed under the name uncultured bacterium. Its description in RNAcentral is "partial 16S ribosomal RNA". It matches the Rfam family "Bacterial small subunit ribosomal RNA", at positions 337 to 586 of the family's 1533-position model. The record is from RNAcentral.
GCCUACGGGGCGCAGCAGUAGGGAAUCUUCCACAAUGGACGAAAGUCUGAUGGAGCAACGCCGCGUGAGUGAAGAAGGGUUUCGGCUCGUAAAGCUCUGUUGGUAGUGAAGAAAGAUAGAGGUAGGAACUGGCCUUUAUUUGACGGGAAUUACUUAGAAAGUCACGGCUAACUAAGUGCCAGCAGCCGCGGGAAUACGGAGGUGGCAAGCGGUGUCCGGAGUUAUUGGGCGUAAAGGGAGGGCAGGCGGGUCGAAAA